This 586-nucleotide ribosomal RNA is filed under the name uncultured bacterium. Its description in RNAcentral is "partial 16S ribosomal RNA". It matches the Rfam family "Bacterial small subunit ribosomal RNA", at positions 355 to 1375 of the family's 1533-position model. The record is from RNAcentral.
UAGGGAAUAUUGGACAAUGGGCGCAAGCCUGAUCCAGCCAUGCCGCGUGAGUGAAGAAGGCCCUCGGGUUGUAAAGCUCUUUUGUCCGGAAAGAAAAGCAUCGGGCUAAUACCCUGGUGUUCUGACGGUACCGGAAGAAUAAGCACCGGCUAACUUCGUGCCAGCAGCCGCGGUAAUACGAAGGGUGCAAGCGUUACCCGGAAUUACUGGGCGUAAAGCGUGCGUAGGUGAUUUGUUAAGUCUGAUGUGAAAGCCCUGGGCUCAACCUGGGAAUGGCAUUGGAAACUGGCGGACUCGAGUGCGGUAGAGGGGUGUGGAAUUCCCGGUGUAGCAGUGAAAUGCGUAGAGAUCGGGAGGAACACCAGUGGCGAAGGCGACACCCUGGACCAGCACUGACACUGAGGCACGAAAGCGUGGGGAGCAAACAGGAUUAGAUACCCUGGUAGUCCACGCCCUAAACGAUGCGACUGGAUGUUGGGUGCAACUUGGCACUCAGUAUCGAAGCUAACGCGUUAAGUUCGCCGCCUGGGGAGUACGGUCGCAAGACUGAAACUCAAAUGAAUUGACGGGGUCAUAGCUGUUUCCU